CUUNUUGAUAAUAAUUUAAGUCAAUCUCUGCCCAAUGAUNUAAUUAAAUGGCUGCAGUAUNACUGACUGUNCAAAGGNNGCAUAAUCAAUUGAUUUUUAAAUGGAAUCUGGAAUGAAAGGAUUAAUGAAAUAUAUUCUGUCUCAUAUAUAUAAUGUGAAUUUAAAAUUUUAAUAAAAAUGUUAAAAUUUUUUUUUUGGACGAUAAGACCCUAUAGAAUUUUAUAUAAAAUAAAUUUUAUAUUAAUAUAAAAUUUAUUUUAUAUUUAGUUGGGAGAAUUAUUAAAUUAAAAAAAUUUUAAUUUUUAUUAAACUUUAAUUANAGAAAAUUUAUUGACUUAAAAUUUUUAAUUAUUAGAGUAAAUNACCUUAGGGAUCACAGCGUAAUAUUUUUUUAUAGAUCUUAUAGAAAAAAAUGAUUGNNACCUCGAUGUUGAAUUAAGAUAAAUUUUAAAUGUAGAAGUUUAAUAAUUAUAGUCUGUUCGACUUUAAUAUCNUACAUGAUUUGAGUUCAACUCGACGUAAGU
This 524-nucleotide ribosomal RNA is filed under the name Melipona melanopleura. RNAcentral's name for it is "partial 16S ribosomal RNA". The stretch from base 372 to 524 matches the Rfam family "Bacterial large subunit ribosomal RNA", at positions 2473 to 2626 of the family's 2925-position model. Lineage: Eukaryota; Metazoa; Arthropoda; Insecta; Hymenoptera; Apidae. The record is from RNAcentral.